RNAcentral lists this ribosomal RNA (468 nucleotides) under uncultured bacterium. RNAcentral describes it as "partial 16S ribosomal RNA". It matches the Rfam family "Bacterial small subunit ribosomal RNA", at positions 28 to 507 of the family's 1533-position model. The record is from RNAcentral.
GACGAACGCUGGCGGCGUGCUUAACACAUGCAAGUCGAACGGUGAUGCUCCAGCUUGCUGGCGUGGAUCAGUGGCGAACGGGUGAGUAACACGUGAGCAACCUGCCCCAGACUCUGGAAUAAGCGCUGGAAACGGCGGCUCAUACUGGAUACGAAACUGGCCCGCAUGGGCAUGGUUUGGAAAGUUUUUCGGUUUGGGAUGGGCUCGCGGCCUAUCAGCUUGUUGGUGAGGUAAUGGCUCACCAAGGGGACGACGGGUAGCCGGCCUGGGAGGGCGACCGGCCACACUGGGACUGAGACACGGCCCAGACUCCUACGGGAGGCAGCAGUGGGGAAUAUUGCACAAUGGGCGAAAGCCUGAUGCAGCGACGCCGCGUGAGGGAUGACGGCCUUCGGGUUGUAAACCUCUUUCAGCAGGGAAGAAGCGAAAGUGACGGUACCUGCAGAAGAAGCACCGGCUAACUACGUG